This 292-nucleotide long non-coding RNA is filed under the name Bos taurus (domestic cattle). RNAcentral describes it as "long non-coding RNA NONBTAT019717". The record is from RNAcentral. Lineage: Eukaryota; Metazoa; Chordata; Mammalia; Artiodactyla; Bovidae.
UAAAAAAAAAGGGAAGAACAGAGAUAAUAAUUGUUCAUGUUCCACUAUCAAUUCUUGUGUUCCCAUAAUGUCCUGAAUGGAUGUUCACCGAAGCCACAGCAUCAGGCUGCCCUAGCACAAAAGUAGAGUUACAGAGUCCCAGACAUCUACAACUGAGCUCUGGGACUCACAAGACCAUCCAGAACCACUCCUAGAAACUAAACUGUUACAAUCCUAAGAGGAAUUGCCCAGUUAUGAGAAGAGACCAGAUAGAAGCCUUAGAAAAGCAGGAUCUGGCCUCGGUGUUGGAAGU